CAGCUUUAACAGCCAAGGCAGUUUUAUAGGUUUGCCGCAGUAUAUCUCAGUCACUCACUUUUUAACCUUAGUUUUCUGCAAGGAAUUUCCUGGCAGGUUUUCUCUGUAUUAGGCAUUCUUGAUUUUCUUACCUGCGAUAAGUGUCAUCUGUAUGCUAUUAGAUGAUGAUUCUUCUUCUUCUUACCCACAAAAACUGUCAACUAUAUUAGCAGUUGCUGAUUCUUUGUAUUCUCAGACCUUCAACUAACAACUUCACAGCUACUGGCCUGUUUGGUAACUGAAUUUUCACAGUUUAUAAACAAAAGAAAGCCAGUGACAACUUCAGUUGUUAAAGAAUGUGUUGCUAUCAGUAGUUGUUAAUGGCAUAAUCACUGUGCUCUCAAAUCUAGAUUCUCGAAAGCUUCAAUUCUAUCUAUUAGCUGGUUGUGUGUAUGGUACGGCUCCACCAACAAGAGAUUUUUUUCACUGGAGGCAAGUUCGAUGAUGACUUGUCUGAUGUCUUCAGAGUUAUUGAAGCUUUGUGACGACUUUUGCCACACUAGAUGUGGAAUAUAGCUCUUUCACUUGUUGCUAGUAGGGCGUUACCAAUUACUUUUCUUUUCAUCUUGGCUUGAUAUAGCCGACUAACUCACCCAUUCAAUUGAUAGCUAACUACAACUUUUAUUAGAUCAAGAAUAGAAAGAGCACAUCAAGAGAUGGAAUGCUUCCUCUUGACAGAGAGAUCUCGCAAUGCCCUAUGCCUCAUGAUUGCGACAUGUUCAAUUCCAGGCCAGAUCUAGGCGACAUGAUAAUGCCCAUUUUUGAAGAAUUGAAGAUCUGGCACCGAACUUUGGGGAAAAUCGGAAAAUAGGUAAAGUUCUUUUUUUCCCCCAACAAUAUAACCACCAACCAAAUUAACCAAAUCUUGCUACAUUUGUGUUUGAUUUAGCCAUGUUUGUAUAAUUGUUAAUUUUUUCUUCAUAUUUUUCUAGUUUUUUAUAUAACUUUCAGCAAUUUUUUAAUUAUUUGUAAAAUAUUUGGAGUAUAUAUUGUUCAAAAACAUGUAUGGAUUAUAGAUCUACACAUGCAUGCACUAAAUCAAUAUUUUCAUCUCUUU
Long non-coding RNA from Magnolia sinica, 1096 nucleotides. RefSeq lists it as uncharacterized. The record is from RefSeq and is a predicted model, not a curated record. The transcript has 2 exons. NCBI's taxonomy places the organism in Eukaryota, Viridiplantae, Streptophyta, Magnoliopsida, Magnoliales, Magnoliaceae.